This 88-nucleotide unclassified non-coding RNA is filed under the name Pseudomonas koreensis. Lineage: Bacteria; Pseudomonadati; Pseudomonadota; Gammaproteobacteria; Pseudomonadales; Pseudomonadaceae. The record is from RNAcentral.
UGUAGGAGUGAGCCUGCUCGCGAUAGCGGUGUGUCAGUCACAACUUUUUUACUGACACAUCGCUAUCGCGAGCAGGCUCACUCCUACA